This 1743-nucleotide ribosomal RNA is filed under the name uncultured alpha proteobacterium EB080_L27A02. RNAcentral describes it as "16S ribosomal RNA". Lineage: Bacteria; Pseudomonadati; Pseudomonadota; Alphaproteobacteria. The record is from RNAcentral.
AUUCAAAAUAUUCCCCCCAAAUUAAAGAUAAGUGCCAAGUCAAAUAUUGCCCAUGUUGCUGUUAUGCCGGAUAUGCUUUCUUCAAAAGAAACAGCGUCUAGUGUUGCAAAGAUGCUGGCUGAAAAGUGCAAUAAUCUUUCAGAACUUAGAGAUGCAAUGGGCUUGUUUGAGAUGUGUUCAUUGAAAAAAGGUGCAAAAAAAUUAGUUUUUUCUGAUGGCUUGAGCAAAUCAAGGGUAAUGGUGAUCGGGGAGUCGCCUUCACGUGAAGAAGACAUAGAAGGAAAGCCAUUUGUGGGAACUGAGGGUGAAUUAGUGGAUAAGAUGUUCCAAGCUAUUGGCUUGUCUAGAGACUCUAAUGAGCCUAACGAAGCAAUUUAUAUUACAACAGCAAUUCCUUGGAGGCCUCCACAAAGUCGUGACCCUAAUUCGGAUGAGAUAGCAAUGAUGUUGCCUUUCCUGAAGCGCCAUAUUGAAUUGGUAAACCCUGAUUUCAUUGUUUUAAUGGGUAAUAUUGCUUGCUCGGCAGUUUUGAAUAAAGUUGGUAUAAACAAAUUCCGAGGCGAAUGGACUGAGGCGUUUGGAAAACAAAUUCUUCCAAUGUUGCAUCCUAGAUCAUUGCUGAAAGAUCCUAUGAGAAAACGAGAUACUUGGAAUGAUCUUUUGAGUUUAAAAGAGCGAUUGAAAUUAUGACUGAUAGAAAAUUUAUUCCUGUAAAUAUUGCUAUUCUUACGAUCUCAGAUAGUCGAACUUUUGAAAAUGAUCGAUCGGGCGAUGUUCUUGCUAAUUGUAUAGAAAGUGCAGGACACAUAUUGAAAAAUAGAGAAAUUGUAAAAGAUGAUAGACCUUUAAUUUCUGCAAAGUUAAUGGAAUGGUGCAAAAGAAUUGAUAUAGAUACCAUUAUUACUACAGGUGGAACUGGUCUUACUGGUCGUGACGUUUCGGUUGAGGCUCAUCGAGAUGUAUAUGAAAAAGAAAUAGAUGCAUUUGCUACUAUGUUUACUAUAAUCUCAAUGAAAAAAAUUAGAACAUCUGCAGUACAAUCAAGAGCAUGUGCAGGGGUUGCUCAUGGGACAUAUUUAUUUGCAUUACCAGGUAGCCCUGGAGCUUGUAUGGAUGGUUGGGAAGAAAUUUUAAAAUAUCAAUUAGAUUAUACGCACAAACCGUGUAAUUUUGUUGAAAUCAUGCCACGCCUUGAAGAAAAUAAGAAGAGAAAAUGAUUAAAGGAUUAAAAUUUCAUUUUUUUUCACAUAUUACAAAAAUGAUAUAUGAGUUAUUUGAUAUUUGUUGUUGAUAAACUACAUGUAAGUAUCAAUUUAUCACUAAGCUUCGCUAAAAGGGAAAAAUAUUAUGCGUUUCUUCAACAGAAGUAUAUUUGGUCUUUUUUUAACUGUGCUUACUAUCGGAGUUUUAUUGGCUGCGGUUUAUGUUUUUAAAAAUGCUCAAGAUGAUCGUGAAGAUCGAAAAAGGCCUAGAACUGAUAGAGAACGCAGUUUUUCGGUUUAUGUACUGCCAAUUAAAAUUGAAGCAAUAAAACCUGAAGUUACAGUCUUUGGGGAAGUAUUAUCUGGACGCACUUUAGAAUUAAGAACAUCUGCGGGUGGUAAGCUAGUUCAAAUGUCUGAAAAUUUCAGAAAAGGUGGCGCUGUAACUAAAGGGGAAUUAUUAUUUACAACAGAUCCUUCAAGCGCAAAUGCUAAUGUCCAAUUAGCAGAAACAACUCUCAUGGAAGCAAAAGCUGAGCUU